This 489-nucleotide ribosomal RNA is filed under the name Triticum aestivum (bread wheat). Its description in RNAcentral is "partial small subunit ribosomal RNA". The record is from RNAcentral. Lineage: Eukaryota; Viridiplantae; Streptophyta; Magnoliopsida; Poales; Poaceae.
GAAAAAAAUAAAAGUCCUGCGCCAGAUGGGUUCCCAGCUGAUUUUUACCAUGAAUUUUGGGACCUGGUGAAAUGGGAUCUUAAAGCUCUAAUUGAAGAGUUUGCUAGAGGCAAAAUUAACAUUGCCAGAUUGAAUUAUGGUAUCAUCACAUUAAUACCAAAAACUGCAGAUGCCAAACAGAUUCAAAAAUUUAGACUGAUUUGCUUGUUAAAUGUGAGCUUUAAAAUCAUCACAAAAGUGCUGAUGAACAUGCUCACUAAGUGUGUGUCCCCUGUUAUUUUUAAAACCCAAACAACCUUCAUUAAGGGUAGAUAUAUCAUGGAGGGGGUGGUGAUACUACAUGAAGCUUUGAACACUUUUCAUAGUAAAAAAUAUGGUGCUCUAAUUUUUAAGGUAGAUUUUGAAAAAGCAUAUGACAAAAUCAAGUGGCCCUUUGUGAUUCAGAUGUUGAAAGCCAAAGGGUCCCUGAUAAAUGGUGUGAUUGGGUAA